UUGAAAUUACCGGUGAGGGUUGUAGCUGGCCCCCUAAUAAGGGCAUGUGCACACUGUCUCUUUCUCUUGUUUGUUUUUUCAUUCUUUCCACUUGUGCACUGCUUGUAGGCAGCCUGGCAUUGUUCGGGUUGUCUAUGAUUUUAUUUUACAUACAUGAAUCAUUGUUGUACAGAAUGUGAUAAAAAAAUAAUAAUA
Molecule: unclassified non-coding RNA, 195 nt
Filed under: uncultured Amanita
Lineage: Eukaryota; Fungi; Basidiomycota; Agaricomycetes; Agaricales; Amanitaceae
Description: sequence contains ITS1
Source: RNAcentral